CGUGCUCAUGCUACAAGAAAAAGGCUAGGUCAGGCUUCGGCCUGACCAAAAUUCAAGCUGCUAUACCUCUGGCUGCAUUGACUUGUGGUCAGAGUGUAUGGUGAUCAUAGCAAUUGCAAGUAUUGGGCUCGAUAAAUCCUUUGAAGACGACUUAAUUGCAUCCGGGUAUUGUAAGUGUUGAGAGUAGGCUUAGUCUUACGAUCCACUGAGAUUCAUCCCGUGUUGCGCCGAUUUGU
This 236-nucleotide non-coding RNA is filed under the name Perkinsus marinus ATCC 50983. Its description in RNAcentral is "Eukaryotic large subunit ribosomal RNA". It matches the Rfam family "Eukaryotic large subunit ribosomal RNA", at positions 3162 to 3401 of the family's 3401-position model. The record is from Rfam by way of RNAcentral. Lineage: Eukaryota; Perkinsozoa; Perkinsida; Perkinsidae.